RNAcentral lists this ribosomal RNA (608 nucleotides) under uncultured bacterium. Its description in RNAcentral is "bacterial SSU rRNA". The stretch from base 1 to 520 matches the Rfam family "Bacterial small subunit ribosomal RNA", at positions 338 to 873 of the family's 1533-position model. The record is from RNAcentral.
CCUACGGGAGGCAGCAGUGGGGAAUAUUGGGCAAUGGAGGAAACUCUGACCCAGCGACGCCGCGUGCGGGAUGAAGGCCUUCGGGUUGUAAACCGCUUUCAGCAGGGAAGAAGCGAAAGUGACGGUACCUGCAGAAGAAGCACCGGCUAACUAUGUGCCAGCAGCCGCGGUAAUACAUAGGGUGCAAGCGUUGUCCGGAAUUAUUGGGCGUAAAGAGCUCGUAGGUGGUUCGUCACGUCGGAUGUGAAAAUCUGGGGCUUAACCCCAGACCUGCAUUCGAUACGGGCGAGCUUGAGUAUGGUAGGGGAGUCUGGAAUUCCUGGUGUAGCGGUGGAAUGCGCAGAUAUCAGGAGGAACACCAAUGGCGAAGGCAGGACUCUGGGCCAUUACUGACACUGAGGAGCGAAAGCGUGGGGAGCGAACAGGAUUAGAUACCCUGGUAGUCCACGCCGUAAACGGUGGGCACUAGUUGUGGGGACCUUCCACGGUCUCUGCGACGCNGCUACGCAUAGUGCCCGCCGUCGGGAGGUACGAGUCGCGAGAAGUUAAACGUUAAACGUAAAGUUAGUUAGUCGUUGUUGAGNGCGACGACGACGACGAGGAGGAGG